UACGGAGGGUGCAAGCGUUAUCCGGAUUCACUGGGUUUAAAGGGUGCGUAGGUGGGCAGGUAAGUCCGUGGUGAAAUCUCGUGAGCUUAACCUCAGAAACUUGCCGUGGAUACUAUUUGUCUUGAAUAUUGUGGAGGUGAGCGGAAUAUGUCAUGUAGCGGAUGAAAUGUCUUAGAUAUGACAAUAGCAACACCAAUUGCGAAGGCAGCUCACUACAUCAAUUAUGACGCUGAGGCACGAAAGCGUGGGGAUCAAACAGG
Molecule: ribosomal RNA, 260 nt
Filed under: uncultured bacterium
Lineage: Bacteria
Description: partial 16S ribosomal RNA
Rfam family: Bacterial small subunit ribosomal RNA
Source: RNAcentral